This 253-nucleotide ribosomal RNA is filed under the name uncultured bacterium. RNAcentral's name for it is "partial 16S ribosomal RNA". It matches the Rfam family "Bacterial small subunit ribosomal RNA", at positions 524 to 776 of the family's 1533-position model. The record is from RNAcentral.
UACGUAGGGGGCAAGCGUUGUCCGGAAUCAUUGGGCGUAAAGAGCGUGUAGGCGGCCUGAUAAGUCGGUUGUGAAAGUCAAGGGCUCAACCCUUGAAUGCCGACCGAUACUGUCAGGCUAGAGUCCGGAAGAGGCGAGUGGAAUUCCUGGUGUAGCGGUGAAAUGCGCAGAUAUCAGGAGGAACACCAAUUGCGAAGGCAGCUCGCUGGGACGUUACUGACGCUGAGACGCGAAAGCGUGGGGAGCAAACAGG